Molecule: ribosomal RNA, 420 nt
Filed under: uncultured bacterium
Lineage: Bacteria
Description: partial 16S ribosomal RNA
Rfam family: Bacterial small subunit ribosomal RNA
Source: RNAcentral
CCUACGGGAGGCAGCAGUGAGGAAUAUUGGUCAAUGGACGAGAGUCUGAACCAGCCAAGUAGCGUGAAGGAUGACUGCCCUAUGGGUUGUAAACUUCUUUUAUAAAGGAAUAAAACGAGGCACGUGUGCCUUGUUGCAUGUACGUUAUGAAUGAGGAUCGGCUAACUCCGUGCCAGCAGCCGCGGUAAUACGGAGGAUCCGAGCGUUAUCCGGAUUUAUUGGGUGUAAAGGGGGCGUAGAUGGGUUGUUCAGUCCGUUGUGAAAGUGGGCGGCUCAACCGUAAAAUGGCCAUUGAUACUGUCAGUCUUGAGUACCGUUGAGUUAGGCGGUAUUCGUGGUGUAGCGGUGAAAUGCUGUGAUAUCACGAAGCACCCCGAUUGCGCAGGCAGCUUACUAAACUGUGCCUGCCAUUGAUGCUCG